CCUGGGCUUGCAGCCAUGUGCGGCCUGCCAGCAUUCCCCGCCCAGUCAGGCAGGUGUAAUGCUCUCUCCCCGGGCGCUACCAGCAAACGAUGCUCUCAGGGUGGGUGCAGGGCCUCAGCUGCAGGGGCCCCUCACUGCUCCAGUCCCCACCUCAUCUGCUCCCAGGGGUUGUGCGGCAGUGCAGUGCAGGCAGCAUGGUGCUGAAUGGGCCCAGUGCACGGCAGGCCAGGCCUUGUCUCACUACGCUGCCUGGCGUGGCCAUUGGAGCCGGAGGACAGAGGCGGGGCUGGUGCAAGUCACUUACCAGCAAUUGCUCGGCCACACGAGGGGUGAAAAGGUCAGCGGCAGCUCCCCUUCCCAGCAUGCUGCCUUCUGGCUGGAGUCACACAUGCCUGCAGGCUGCAGUGUCACAGGGCCAGAGAGGCCGGCUCACGUGGAGAAUAUGGCACGGCUCUGCCAGCAGCAUGGUGGGAAGGAAGAAUAGGCCUGGAGAAAACAAAGUAUCCAACUUACAUUUACCCAAAGGAGCUGAAGAACUUAAUGAGAUCCGCCUUCCCAGCAGGGGUCUGCGACUACCCUGACCCAGACCACAGCAAGGUGGUACACGUGACGCUCGAAGACCUGCACCUGCUCAAUCACCCCGAGGCAUGGAGUGCACAGCCCUGUCUGCAAUAGAACUUCUUCAGGCAUCAGAGCAUUUACCGGAACAGGAUGGAAUGAGGCAGCAGCAAGAGAGUUAUUUUCACCCUGCCCAGGAAUGACGUACAUAGGGCUCCAGCUACGUCCCUCCCUCAAAACAGUCCUCCCAACUCACCCCAUUACAGCCAAGUCUCACUGGCAGGUCUCGAGCUCUCUCCCCAGGAGCCCACCCUAUGAGCAAAAACACCUUUGUACCCACUUGCAGCCACCCCCCCUUUCUCCAAAGGGCAAACUGCUGAGUGAGUUCCCAUUUCUCUUACCUGUCACUGUGGCCCUGGCUUGAUCUUCCACCCAGCUGCUAUUCCCCUAGCGAGAUCUGCUGCCAGAGGAAAGCAGCACAGCUUGCAUCCUUCACUCCACCGUGGAAAGAGAAGUUCUUGACUGGUCCCAAAAGUGACAACAGAAGAGCUGCAUGGAGGUGGGGGUGAAUGCUUUUCCAGCAGCCCAAACCCAGGGGGCAGAAUAGCCCCAGCAGAUGUACACUAUACCCUUUCCACUGAUACAGGAGGUGAGGUAGGUCUGAGGCAGAGCCUUAAGCUGUGAACGCUCAUUUCCACUGUCCUGGUCUAGGAAUUGGUACAGCUAUGCUCUCAGGGGUGUGAAAAGUCCGCUCCCCGGAAAGACAGCGUUAUACUGACCUAACCUCCGAUGUAGUCAGCACUAGGUCACGAGAAGAAGUCUUCUGUUGACCUAGCUACUGCCUCUCAGAGAUAGAUUACCGACGCUGAUGAGAGACACCCUUCCGGUAGCAUGGGUAGCACCCAGGGAGUGCAUCCAUUGCCAGCUGUUAGUCACAGAGCGACCAUGGGCAAGUCAUUUCACCUUCUGUGUUUGUUUCCACAACCACACUUAUCUGACAAAAGUAGUUCAUGCUUUGAGAGCCUUGUAUGAAAAAUGCUGGAGAAGUGCAGUGCUAAGUAUUCCCUACUCAUUACUGUUCUGACAAGAGGAUGUGUUGUGAAUUUCAUUUUUGUUAAUAAAGGCUUU
Molecule: long non-coding RNA, 1686 nt
Filed under: Gopherus agassizii (Agassiz's desert tortoise)
Lineage: Eukaryota; Metazoa; Chordata; Testudines; Testudinidae
Description: lncRNA (ENSGAGG00000010267.1)
Source: RNAcentral